Molecule: non-coding RNA, 125 nt
Organism: Clostridiales bacterium
Lineage: Bacteria; Bacillati; Bacillota; Clostridia; Eubacteriales
Source: Rfam
AAAAACGAAAUGCCGAAUUUCCUGACGGAAAACGGGGAAACCAAAUCUUGGGGUGAAUCGAAAGAGGAAGACAACCUUAUGCUUCUAACCCGACAGCUAACCUCGUAGGCAAAAGGUAAGGUCCC